CGGCGGACGGGUGAGUAACGCGUGGGGAACCUGCCUUACACAGGGGGAUAACAGUUAGAAAUGGCUGCUAAUACCGCAUAACCCGCUGGGGUCGCAUGACUCUGACGGAAAAGAUUGUAUCGGUGUAAGAUGGACCCGCGUCUGAUUAGCUGGUUGGUGAGGUAACGGCUCACCAAGGCGACGAUCAGUAGCCGACCUGAGAGGGUGAUCGGCCACAUUGGGACUGAGACACGGCCCAAACUCCUACGGGAGGCAGCAG
This 259-nucleotide ribosomal RNA is filed under the name uncultured bacterium. RNAcentral's name for it is "partial 16S ribosomal RNA". It matches the Rfam family "Bacterial small subunit ribosomal RNA", at positions 96 to 354 of the family's 1533-position model. The record is from RNAcentral.